CCUACGGGAGGCAGCAGUGAGGAAUAUUGGUCAAUGGGCGCGAGCCUGAACCAGCCAAGUCGCGUGAGGGAAGACGGCUCUACGGGUUGUAAACCUCUUUUGCCGGGGAGCAACGGGCGCCACGUGUGGCGCCACUGAGAGUACCCGGAGAAAAAGCAUCGGCUAACUCCGUGCCAGAAGCCGCGGUAAUACGGGGGAUGCGAGGGUUAUCCGGAUUUAUUGGGGUUAAAGGGGGCGUAGGCGGAGCGUUAAGUCAGCGGUCAAAUUGAGGGGCUCAACGCCUUCCCGCCAUUGAAACUGGCGCUCUAGAGUGGAAGAGAAGUAUGCGGAAUGCGUGGUGUAGCGGUGAAAUGCAUAGAUAUCACGAAGAACCCCGAUUGCGAAGGCAGCAUGCCGGCUUCCGACUGACGCUGAAGCACGAAAGCGUGGGGAUCGAACAGGAUUAGAUACCCCGGUAGUC
Molecule: ribosomal RNA, 460 nt
Filed under: uncultured bacterium
Lineage: Bacteria
Description: partial 16S ribosomal RNA
Rfam family: Bacterial small subunit ribosomal RNA
Source: RNAcentral